Molecule: long non-coding RNA, 574 nt
Organism: Aplysia californica (California sea hare)
Lineage: Eukaryota; Metazoa; Mollusca; Gastropoda; Aplysiida; Aplysiidae
Exons: 2
Source: RefSeq, a predicted model, not a curated record
GGUAAAAGGACGAUAGAUGUUUGAUAGGAAAGAAGAAGCAAACCACACCACAGCAUUCGCCAACCACCCACCUUGUGAGGAUAGUGACCCGUCCAAGUCUGUCAAGUUAAAAGCACAUAGAACGACCCAGAGGAGCAGCAGCAUUUCUUCGUCUUGGUUUUGAAAGAGCUUCCGCAGCGAGCGUUCACACGUGAUAAAAGCGGUCUGUUCGUGACAUGUUGUGAAGGGAAUUCCUCUCUAUGAAAGAGCAAGUGUCAACACAGUUGGAAGUGGAAUCAGCGGCUCCCAUUACAACCCCCAAAGCCGACGGCGACUACAGUUCCAUACACCAGAGUAUGUUCUUAUCUACAGAAUGUGAUAGCCAGUCAGGGAGAAAUUGAAUCUUGGACUCAUCAUCACAUUUCAAUUGAGGUUUGUCUUCGGCUUUCGCUGUCGUUUUGUGCUUUUGGAGCGUUUUUCCUGUUAGACACAUAUGAUCCACAGUUCUUCACAUUUUAGUACAGGAGAGGAAACCUCACCCAAAAACAUUGCCAAUUGCAUGUUUAACUCAUUUCUUCGACUCAUCUACACAUCA